GGAUCGAUGAUGACUUAAAGAUUUAUCUAAUUUAAAUCUGAACAAAAUGAGUGACCAAAACACUUCUGUACCACUUCUGUGAGCUGAGGUCCAGCACAGAGACCACUCCAGUCAAACAUGUGUUGCCUGGAGUUGCAACUAGUUGGUCAGUUAGAAGCAACCACAGGGACUGGGGUAUUUGAAAACCACUUGAGUGCAUUUAUUAGAGGAAACGAAUUUUACAUUUGUGUAUAAAAAUUCAAUUGUAGGGUAAAAUGGAAACUCUGAGAGUUUGGUUGGCGGCAUCUAUAUACCAUAGAAACAGAGCCUGGGAAGCAGAACAGUGAGACCCAAGAGAAAUGUUCCUGCCUAUACUUGGUCUGUUCUCACAUUUGCCUGAGCUACUGAUUGAUCUUUUGAGGGUGAUGAGAUGGUCAAAAUCCAAGGAUAUGAUGAGUUUUUACUUCUCAUUUUCUUUUUUUUUUUAUUAUACUUUAAGUUUUGGGGUACAUAUGCAGAACGUGCAGGUUUGUUACAUUGGUAUACACGUGCCAUGGUGGUUUGCUGCACCCAUCAACCCAUCAUCUACAUUAGAUUGGUUUUCACAGAAUUCCAUGGACUUUAACUGCUGAACCAAUGAUGCACUGAUUUUGUCACUUGUACCAGCUAACGCAUCUGGGAGGCAACAAAACAAUACUCUCCUGAGGUUAAUGUGGACCAAAAACUAGAUUUCAUAUAAAAGAGUUUAUUCCUUCUACUUGAGGUGUGACAUGAAGGAAAGUAAUGGAAAUAAUUCUGCCCUCCCAUUCUCAAGGGCCAGGGGGAAUUCAAAUAUUGAACGGAAGUGAUUUUGGAAUUGCAUGGAAUUCUCACUGCCAUCCCAAAGAAAUGCUGAUCUUGUCACUCUUACCUGUUUCAUUCCCUGGGGGCAGAACAAAAGGACGCACUCCAAAGAUCGGCAUGAACCAAGAACUGGGUUUCAUAUAAAAUAUUUUAUUCUGUCCUCUUGAGAUGUGACAUGAGAAAAGUAUUGAGAAUACUUCUAUCACCUCAUCUUCAAGAAUCCGUAGGAAUUCUCCCAUGGUGGACUUUACGGUUAACCUGAACAGGUCUUGGAAAAAGGACUUUAAACAUUCUCCUGUUCUGUGGAAUAAGUAUACUUUUUUCUGGACAUACACCUUGUCAGUUCCAUGUGAUACUAGAGUUGCAUAGAUUUUUAACCUUUACGCCAAUGAAGAUCUGAGGCAAACAUUGCCCCUUUUUUAGAAGUUUGCAUUUGUCACUGAUAACUGUAAUAAUUGAUCUUGUUGAAAAGCCUGGGAAAUGAAGAUCUGAUAUGUCACUUUUACCGGCUUCCUCAACUGAAAAAGAAUACAAUGAAACACGCUGAGAAUUUUUGUGCUUUCUCAGUCUUGCUGAUGAUCUUUCUAUGGGCCUGAAGCGUGGAGAGUGCCAGAGAGGCUGAUCCUCAGCAGUGUGGCAGAGGAAAGUUGGGUGCGACUAAGGGGUAUGCGGUGCCCACAUGCCACUGGGUCCUCAGCAGUACCACCUGAUUGGAAGUGAUAUUGGUGGAAGACAACAUUUUGCCGCUUGGAAUUCUCACCUCCACACCAAAGAAGUACUGUUUUUGUCAUUUGCACCAGCUUCUUUCUCCAGGAAAGAUCAAAACGAUGCACUGCAAGUGUGAUUGGUCCAGAUAGCUGCCUUAUCCAACUGCCUCCUUUGGACCACUUCAUCAUGGGACAGCUUGAUGCAAUCUACUUGACAAGACCCUGGAACCCCACACCCCUCAUGGAACCAGUGUCCACCUCCCAGUCACAGUGUGACCCCAGGGAACUCUUGCCUGCUUGCUUUAAACCCACCACUUAAAAGUCUCCACAGAAAACCUGUUUGAAUAGUACCCUUGACCCAAUAAGGGCAUUGGCCCCUGGGUGUCUCUCUCUCUCUCUCUCUCUCUCUCUCCCUCUCUCUCCCUCUCUCUCUCUCGCUCCCUGACCUCUGCGUGUGGACUCCAGGCAUGCCAUAUACCCCUCAGGACCUGAAGCAAAAGAAUGAAUUAAAGAAAACUCCAGAGAAUGAGCUGACAACCUACUCCCUGGUCAGUGGCUCUCCAUGCCUACCUGUGGUCUCUUGGACACCCUUGCAGAUGACUUCCUGGGAACUCUUCUGGGAGUGAAUGUUAUCAGCAAAUUCCCAAAACAACACCCCUUAGACAAAAAGCCUCCUCACCUAUGCAUUGCCUAGACCACCCACUAAAGGUGAUGGCCACAAAGAGGUGGAUUUGUUGAGUUGGUGCCAUUCCUUCUACUGCCAGCUUCACCAAAACAAUGACACAGUCUUCCUUCCGCAUGGAGACUCUUCUCUUUCCUGUGUUGCAGUGGAUGCCUCCUGCAGAUAAGAAAUGCUUAACUGAGAAAUGCUCAUGUUGGGAUAUCAUCGAUGAGACUUUAAUUUGGGCAUGGUGACUGUUUCCCUUGCUGCCACUUGACUCAAUCCCAGGAGCCUCAGUAGAGGAUAUAAUAUUACACAAGAUGCUCAAAAUGGUGGAAUUGCUCAGUGCUCCCAUAAAUAUACAUUUAUAAUUUUCAUUUGCCACAUGGUAAACUGAAAAAUACAGACUAUAUUAAAAAGAAACUGCAUGAUUUUUUUUCAAAAAUUCAAAGCAUAUUUAAAUAAUAUAUAAAUUAAAUGCCCUCCUCUCUUCCAAUUCUGUCCCUAUAGUUUUCCUCUAUUAAGUGAACUACAUGCAUUCUUUUAGUGGAUAGAUGCACACAAACACACAAGCCAUUAUGGGGAAGGAUCCACGUGUGUGGCCAUAUUGUAACACAUUUUUCUGCAAAUCACCUCUUUCAUUUAACAGCCCUUAUUCAAUGGCCUUUUUCUUUUUCAGUAGUACAUACACAUCUGUGUCAUUUGUUGAAUGACGACAUGAAUGUUUUGUAGAUAAAAUAUAAUUAAAUGUUUUAAGCAUUUCUCACUCAUAGAUAUUUAUGUUAGCACCAAAUUUCUGUGCAAUGAACCUCCCUAUAUAUCAGUAAUUUUGCAUUUGUCUAUAAUAUCAUAAUAAAU
This is a long non-coding RNA of Homo sapiens (human), 3048 nucleotides long. Ensembl annotates it as small nucleolar RNA host gene 14. Its record names the gene SNHG14. NCBI's taxonomy places the organism in Eukaryota, Metazoa, Chordata, Mammalia, Primates, Hominidae. The record is from Ensembl.